RNAcentral lists this ribosomal RNA (448 nucleotides) under uncultured bacterium. Its description in RNAcentral is "SSU rRNA". It matches the Rfam family "Bacterial small subunit ribosomal RNA", at positions 26 to 518 of the family's 1533-position model. The record is from RNAcentral.
AGAGCGAACGCUGGCGGCAGGCUUAACACAUGCAAGUCGAGCGGGCGUAGCAAUGCGUCAGCGGCAGACGGGUGAGUAACGCGUGGGAACGUACCUUUGGUUCGGAACAACCCAGGGAAACUUGGGCUAAUACCGGAUAAGCCCUUACGGGGAAAGAUUUAUCGCCGAAAGAUCGGCCCGCGUCUGAUUAGCUAGUUGGUGAGGUAAUGGCUCACCAAGGCGACGAUCAGUAGCUGGUCUGAGAGGAUGAUCAGCCACAUUGGGACUGAGACACGGCCCAAACUCCUACGGGAGGCAGCAGUGGGGAAUAUUGGACAAUGGGCGCAAGCCUGAUCCAGCCAUGCCGCGUGAGUGAUGAAGGCCCUAGGGUUGUAAAGCUCUUUUGUGCGGGAAGAUAAUGACGGUACCGCAAAGAAUAAGCCCCGGCUAACUUCGUGCCAGCAGCCGC